UUCAUUCGCGUCUCGACGUAGGCGUGGGACGAGGUCGAGCGACGGGACGCGUUCUUCGGAACGGGUCUCGCGCCCUUCGUUCUUCGAACCGACGGCGAACGCGUGCACUUUUCUCCUGGUAGGACGUCGCGAUCCGUCGGGUGUCGGUCUACGACUCGCGGUGGAGACCGCUCGUAUCGUCUCGUUACGUACGAACGGACCCGCCUGUUCCGGCCGACUCGCUCGACGGUAUACGUAAGGUCGGAGGCCGCUCGUCUUUAGAAGCGUUCGACUCGUCGCAAGCGCGCCACGUGCGUCGGCACGCGGACCCGGUGCCGCGUCCGACCUCUGGUGACUGUUGGCGACGAUGUUCUCGGACAGACCUCCGCUUCUCUUUGAGAAUGCGUGACCGAUCGGCGACGCUAUAGCUUUGGGUACUUUCAGGACCCGUCUUGAAACACGGACCAAGGAGUCUAGCAUGUGCGCGAGUCAUUGGGAAUAUCACUAAACCUAAAGGCGUAAUGAAAGUGAAGAUCUUCCCAGCGAAGAUCGAGGGAAGACGGACGAGAUUUAAACCCUUCGAAAGUGGGGAUCGUCCUGCAUUCCCGGGGCGUCUCGUUCACAUCGCGUGAAGAGGCGCACCAAGAGCGUACACGCUGGGACCCGAAAGAUGGUGAACUAUGCCUGGUCAGGACGAAGUCAGGGGAAACCCUGAUGGAGGUCCGUAGCGAUUCUGACGUGCAAAUCGAUCGUCGGAACUGGGUAUAGGGGCGAAAGACUAAUCGAACCAUC
Molecule: ribosomal RNA, 771 nt
Filed under: Xyleborinus heveae
Lineage: Eukaryota; Metazoa; Arthropoda; Insecta; Coleoptera; Curculionidae
Description: partial large subunit ribosomal RNA
Rfam family: Eukaryotic large subunit ribosomal RNA
Source: RNAcentral